CAUGGCUUCACCUUUAGGUGCCUCUUCAAUUUCUUCGCCGGGCUCCUCCGGUGACUCGCUAGAAGGUGGCGCUGUUUCCGGUGGAAUUGGGAUGGCUGUAAUUUGACAAAUCUGAUGCCUGGGAGCUCCAGGGCCCUCGUAUGGUUGAUGGCGAUGCCGAAGGAUGCCGCUGUGCCAUCCAGGACCAUGCAGAGGCACCGGGGGUCGGUCUGGACGAUGCCGCCGAGGGUGGUGCAGCAGGAGAACCCGGGCUCCAGGGCUUUGUUCCCAAUGAAGUCAAGGCACGGGGAGAGGGUCAUCAUCACACUCGAGCAGCUAUUGUUCUGCGCCACGGCCUUGGAUGCCAGCAGCGUCAUCAUCAUUGCAAGAACAAACGCAGCGGUGGCGAUCUCCAUCUUCCUCGCAGCCAUUCUCAGCUGUGGGCAGUCCCUCCCGGAGGAUGAAAAUGACUGAAUAACAAAGCUAUAUCUCGGAGAAGAAAGAACUUCGAUGAAUUGGCAGGUAGGCUUCGUAAGGACGUGAGAGGAGUCACUGUAUGCUGCGGCUGUGCCGAAAUUGUUAGAAUGCUAUACCAGGAAGUUGCCACUGUCUCCUGACCGCACACAUGUUUGGCAUAUUGUUGCAGCAUUCUAUUAAUGGAAAAGGCUCGAUGCAUGUGCAUAAUUUUA
Molecule: non-coding RNA, 668 nt
Organism: Lolium perenne
Lineage: Eukaryota; Viridiplantae; Streptophyta; Magnoliopsida; Poales; Poaceae
Source: RefSeq, a predicted model, not a curated record